RNAcentral lists this ribosomal RNA (252 nucleotides) under uncultured bacterium. Its description in RNAcentral is "partial 16S ribosomal RNA". It matches the Rfam family "Bacterial small subunit ribosomal RNA", at positions 524 to 776 of the family's 1533-position model. The record is from RNAcentral.
UACGUAGGUCCCGAGCGUUGUCCGGAUUUAUUGGGCGUAAAGCGAGCGCAGGUGGUUUAUUAAGUCUGGUGUAAAAGGCAGUGGCUCAACCAUUGUAUGCAUUGGAAACUGGUAGACUUGAGCGCAGGAGAGGAGAGUGGAAUUCCAUGUGUAGCGGUGAAAUGCGUAGAUAUAUGGAAGAACACCAGUGGCGAAAGCGGCUCUCUGGUCUGUAACUGACGCUGAGGUUCGAAAGCGUGGGUAGCAAACAGG